This is a long non-coding RNA of Anolis carolinensis (green anole), 3432 nucleotides long. RefSeq lists it as uncharacterized. The record is from RefSeq and is a predicted model, not a curated record. NCBI's taxonomy places the organism in Eukaryota, Metazoa, Chordata, Lepidosauria, Squamata, Anolidae. The transcript has 4 exons.
UGUCAAGCUUUCACAACCAUACAUAGAUUUAAAAAUAUGAUGGUAGGGACAACCCCAACUUUGAUAUUAAAUGAUUUAUCUCUACUCUUGAGAGUCUGGCUCCUUCAUAUUCAUCUUUCCAAGUCAGAGUCUUCUUAUGAUUUCUUGACUAGUUUUCAUUCUGAUUAAUAAUGAGUGAGCCAAGUGAUGAAAAAUCUUGAACUAUUUCAAUGUCUUCAUCAUCUACUUUAAACUCAUAUAAAAUAUCUGUGAUGAUUAGUUUGGUUUUCUUAAUAUUUAAUUGCAAAUCGGACCUUCUACUUUCUUGACUUUCUUCAAAUAAUUGUUUCAAAUUUUUGCUAUUUUCUGCUAGUAGUAUGGUGUCAUCUGCAUAUCUGAAACCUUUGAUAUUUCUUCCUCCAAUUUUCACACCUGCUUCUACUGAAUGUAAUUGUGCUUUCGCAUUUCUACCUGAUAAAGUCUCUGGCUUCAGUCCAGAUUUAUUCUGGUUUUUCUGGCAGUCAAUUAAUGCAAAUCUAUUUUUUAAAUUCUGCAGGGAUAUUCUUCAGGUUAUAUUUCAGCAUAUUGGUUGGUUUAGUGUUCUUUAGCUUUGCUCUAAUUUUUAAUAUUGGUGGUUUAUGUGCCACAAUCUGCUCCAGGUUUUGUUUUUGCAGAAAGAAUAGGCUUUCUCCUGUUAUAUAGCCUAUUUGAUUUCUAUAUUGCCCACUAGAUGAUAUGCUUGCCUCUGAGGACAGGCGAAGAAUGUGUUUGUAAUGAACAAAUGGAUAGUCCUGCAAAAUACAAUCAGUCACUCUUCUGCUUUUUUUUAUUUAGACCAAAUUUUCUUACAAUCUAAUAAAUAAAUACAAUAUUGGAUUCUACUCUAUUAUCUUCUUUUGUAUUCUAAUAACCUAAUUUUUGUAUUCUAAUAACCUAUGAUUAACACAAGUCCACUUCCUCCUGGAGUCCAGUACAGAAUCUUAUAAUUACUUUUUGUGUAUUUUGCAUUAUACCCCUUGAUUUCUCUUGCCACCUCUCUCCUCAACAUUAUGGUAUCCCGUUUCUUCUUAGAUUUUCAUUUUCUAAGUAAAACAUUAUGAAACUGUCUGACUUAAAAUGUUCUAAUUCUGUCCACUUUAACUUAACCAUGUCAAGUAUUGCAGUAUUUAAAUUGUGGGGGUUUUUUUUGUUUUGUUUUACUAUGUCUAGCUUCCCUCGAUUCCUGCUUCUUGCACUUCAUGGUCUGGUAAUAUGUGCUGAGUGGUUUCAAACUGAGCAUGUCAAUAGUGAAACAUUCUUUUGACUUGAGUAAACAAAUUUGCCACAUUUAAUUCCUUCUCCAAUCAAUUUUUGAAAAAGCUCCUAUGAAUAUGAAGAUAUUUGAGAGUCCAAUUAAAUUCUUAUGAAAUAAUCCUGAAGAAAAUCCCCUGCACUUCCCUAAUUAAGAUCCUAUGAAAUGUAAUCUAAAGUCAAGCUGUUGCACAAGAAAUGUGCACAAGCUGAAUAUCAGAAAGUUGAGCUACAUGAGCUUGGAGUUCACAUUCAAAAUACAACUCAACAUUAAUAAUCAAAAUUAGUUCCUCCUCCUGUGCCUCAUCUCCCACUGAUUAGUAAACUCUGUGUUUUUUAUUACGGAUAUUGCUUAUUUGUGUCCUCAACAAAUUGGAGAUGGAUUUAAUACAGGGGGUUUGCUUUUGCUUUUCUUAGCUGGUAGCAAACACUACUUACUGGAGUAUAGCUGGAACAACUAUGGGUAGCACUGUAGCUAAUGAUGCUACUCCACUUUGAAUACACACUUUAAAACAUCUGCAUUAGAAGGGAUAUGUGUUUUAAAUAUCAACAUUUAAUUUAUGUUACCACUUUUUUCUCUCUGAAAGGCUCCCAAUUUUUAUACCUAUACUGCAAGCAGACACAAGCUUGAUUUUAUCUAAGUUAAAACAGCUAAAUUUUCUAAAGUUGGUUGGAAGAAACAACAUUUAUUUCUAUUUGUUUUAUGAUACAUUUACUACUUUCCUCCAAUUCAGAAAAGGAAGUGAUUUUUUAAAAUUAAAGUAAAACUGAAUCUUACCAGUUUUUUUUUAAAAAAGAAGAGUAAUAACAUACAAUUUUGUGACUUGGCAAAGUUUUGUUAAGAGUGAGUUGAAUUGGCCCCAGUUCACUGUGAUGUAGUGGUUCAUUUGGUGUAUAUUGUCUGCCUAUCCAGUUACACAAACAAAUGUUGUGCCAUCCCUUCAGAACAGAAAACACUUCUCUGUCCUCUGGCUUUUUCAUUUCACCACAUCGCAUUAAAGAGGGGAAAGCAAAACCUAUUCUCUGAGCUUGUUGCCUGUCAGAAUAGAUUUGCUACAGCACCCAUUAUUUGCUGCUGAGCAGUCAUUCUUCCGAAUUAGAGGAGAAGUCAUCCAUCUGUCCAAAGGAUUCUCCUGCAACUGAGCAGCAGUGAUGAAAGAAGCCCCUGUUGGCAAAGGCUGCCACGUUAUAAUCACAAGGCGCUGCAACAGAUAGUACCCAAUGGCUGUUAAAUUGGGAACAUGCUAGGCUCUGUCUAAAAACCCAGCGAGGAACACAAGAAGGCACUUUGCCAUUCCUAGAAAACUGCCACAACAUGGGGGAAUUUGUACAGCAAUGCAUGGAGAACUUCAGGGAUCACCCAAUGCCCAUUCCAAUUGCCUUUUUGCUCACUGUUCCAGAAAUGCAGAUAGCUCUGAGCUCAACAUGCCUAGGUCAGUAUUGUGGAAGUGAAAAAUGCUAUGUGAAGAGCAUGCACACACUGCAAGUGAAGCAUAUGAGGCAGAGGAAUAAUGCACAUCUGGCAAAGGCUCUAGAAAAAUUCUCAGUAAUUUGCCUACUGCUUAAAGAUGCUUGGUGAGUCACAAACUAUUGGGUCAUGUACCCAGCUUGAGUGAGCUAUCCCAGUAUUCUGUCAUCUGAUUAUUACACAUGCAGGCACCAUGUCACUGGCCAAUCUGAGAUAGGUAGUUGGAAUACCAAGCACUGCUGGCCAAGAAUGAGAUGUAGAAGAACCUGCAAUGCUGAGGAGCUCAGACAGAGGUCUAUGGCUGGCUAGAGGUAGCAGUUCCCAUGACAGAUAUAUGAUCUAUUCCUUUUCCUGAAAUGGACCCGAUCUAGUUGUCCAGACUGCCCUGAAGACACAGGAUACUCUGGAACAGGAGCACCUGGUGACACAGCCGAUUAAACCACCAAGCUGCUGAACUUGCUGACUAAAAGGUCAGCGGUUCAAAUCCAGAGAGCAGGAACUUUAAUGUCCAUGUGGAUUACAUAUGCAAGCGGGACAAAAUGACACAGGGACAUCAAUCAAGGAUGGACUCUUGAAAUUUGUGUUCCAUGGGACUGCUUUUGAAAAUUGUCUGGAUACAUCUGCUAGUUAAGACUAUGGUUGCAAGAAUGAGCAAUUUAAUUCUAUCGCUAUGAAUGAAUUUUCAGAGUUCUAAA